RNAcentral lists this unclassified non-coding RNA (1480 nucleotides) under Hevea brasiliensis (rubber tree). Lineage: Eukaryota; Viridiplantae; Streptophyta; Magnoliopsida; Malpighiales; Euphorbiaceae. The record is from RNAcentral.
GCAAAGUGUACAUGCAGAAAAAACAUUUUUAACAUGUUCAAUAUACCACAAAUCCAUCUUCUUGACGUUGUUCUUGUAAGCAUAACUUGAGUUACAAUAACGAGUAACAAACUACAGAAAAGAAAAAAACAGUUCCAGAAGUAAUUAUACUUUGGUCAUUCAAUUGAACAUAUUGGGAAGUGGUCUGACAGCCAUGAAAGCAUCUACCAUCUCAUCAGUCACUGCUGCCCUAGCCCGUCGAUGUCUUUCAACUAGAUCUGUUAGUACUUCAACUAGCCUCUUUUUAAUUUCACCUGUCAGCAUACGGCCCGAACCAUACUCCUCUCUAAUGUGUUCCAUCUCUGCAUCAUCGUCCAGGAAAAAGCCAAGAUAUUUAAAUGGUAUAUCAACCUCCAGGUUUGCUCCGUACUUCCUAUGCAACUCAAUUGAGUCUCGUCCACCUGAGAAUGCAUAUCUGUUUAUCUUGUUUUUUAUCUCUUUUGCUGAAUCAGUCACAUAAAUGGCAGAAUUUGGAUCACUAGCAGACAUUUUUCCAUUCUCCCCCUGAAGCGCAGGAAAGAAUGAUGAUUCAAUCAAAGCAGGCUUGUGAUAGCCUAUCCGGGGAGCAACAUCUCGAGUCAUUCGGAAAUAUGGAUCCUGGUCAAUGGCACAUGGAAUCAAACAGCGAAUGUUCUCAUUGCCAAAGAUAUGAGGAAAUGAACUGGGAAAGGAUGGCACAGCCUGGACUGGUGGAAAACUAACUUUCCCAAUGUGAUCUUCACCUGUGAAACCAAAAAUACCAACAACCUUAUUGUAUGUGACACAUUUUGCAACCCUGACCAUGUUCUUGUAAAAGGCGCCACCAACAUAGUCAAAAUCAGAGAAAAUAAACGUCUUUGAAAUAUCAAAUCCACAAGCAAUAAUGUCUUUAGCAUUCUCACGAGCAAGUCUUUGGCUUUCUUCCACUGACAAAUUCUUCCACAUACAUUUCUCAUCAUCAGUCAACUGUAUUACAAGCGGCACCUUAAAAGCAUCCUGCAAGUACUUUGUAAACAUGAAAGGGAUAAGAUGACCCAAAUGCAAAGCUUCAGAAGAAGGUCCUCUGCCAGUGUACAAAUAAAACUUCUCCCCUUUCUCAUAAGAAUCCAAUAUAUCAUUAAAAUCACGAUGAGCAAAGAAAACUCCACGGCGAAGGAAAACAUGAGGUGCCCGAUUCGUAAGACGUUGAACUCUCUGAAUUAACGACUCGUCAAGCCUCUGGCAACCAAAUUUGUCGAUCAAUUUGUCAUAGUCAAUCUUCCCGCCGUCUUUUGCUGAUACCUCCCAUGGGUUCACUACUUGCUCCUCUUCUACCUCUUUGCUUUUAUCAUCCUUCAGCUCCGUUUUCUCCAUUGACGACGACUUCCUACGAGCUAAUGAGAUUUUCAGGGGACAAAAUGAUUUUCCGGCACCGGCGACGACUUGCGGCGAGGCCGGCGAGUUUGAGGAUUUUGGAUUCAGA